ACGGUUCGAUAUGACAUGACAUUAUAUGUAUUUAGAUCUAUAAUUUAAUUUAGAUUAGAUCUAAUAUAUGAUAUUUAGAUCUAAAAUUAGUUGUAGAUCUGAUUGCAUAAAUCGAUAUAAGGUUAUCCUACUGUAAGGUUUAUCCCUUAAAGUACAAAGGUUGUCCUAGUUUGUGCUGAUACUUAUGGAAUCUGAUUUUAAAUUGAAAAAUAUAAAAUUUAUUUAUGAUAAUUAUUAUCUGAUUUUGAUAUGAUCAAAAUAUAAUAAUCAAAUCUUAAAUAAUAUAAAUUAGAUCUAAAUUAUUUAGAUUAGAUGAUCUGAGUAGUGAAGUAAUC
This 335-nucleotide long non-coding RNA is filed under the name Elaeis guineensis (African oil palm). RNAcentral's name for it is "long non-coding RNA (EGUI_LNC059364)". The record is from RNAcentral. Lineage: Eukaryota; Viridiplantae; Streptophyta; Magnoliopsida; Arecales; Arecaceae.